This 280-nucleotide ribosomal RNA is filed under the name Gemmiger formicilis. RNAcentral describes it as "partial 16S ribosomal RNA". It matches the Rfam family "Bacterial small subunit ribosomal RNA", at positions 496 to 776 of the family's 1533-position model. Lineage: Bacteria; Bacillati; Bacillota; Clostridia; Eubacteriales; Oscillospiraceae. The record is from RNAcentral.
UUGUAUUGUGGCCAGCCGCCGCGGUAAAACGUAGGGUGCAAGCGUUGUCCGGAAUUACUGGGUGUAAAGGGAGCGCAGGCGGACCGGCAAGUUGGAAGUGAAAACUAUGGGCUCAACCCAUAAAUUGCUUUCAAAACUGCUGGCCUUGAGUAGUGCAGAGGUAGGUGGAAUUCCCGGUGUAGCGGUGGAAUGCGUAGAUAUCGGGAGGAACACCAGUGGCGAAGGCGACCUACUGGGCACCAACUGACGCUGAGGCUCGAAAGCAUGGGUAGCAAACAGG